This 265-nucleotide ribosomal RNA is filed under the name uncultured bacterium. RNAcentral's name for it is "partial 16S ribosomal RNA". It matches the Rfam family "Bacterial small subunit ribosomal RNA", at positions 524 to 789 of the family's 1533-position model. The record is from RNAcentral.
UACGGAGGGAGCUAGCGUUGUUCGGAAUUACUGGGCGUAAAGCGCACGUAGGCGGCUAUUCAAGUCAGAGGUGAAAGCCCGGGGCUCAACCCCGGAACUGCCUUUGAAACUAGAUAGCUAGAAUCUUGGAGAGGUCAGUGGAAUUCCGAGUGUAGAGGUGAAAUUCGUAGAUAUUCGGAAGAACACCAGUGGCGAAGGCGACUGACUGGACAAGUAUUGACGCUGAGGUGCGAAAGCGUGGGGAGCAACAGGAUUAAGAACCUUG